This 102-nucleotide non-coding RNA is filed under the name Brevibacillus brevis. RNAcentral describes it as "Guanine sequence". It matches the Rfam family "Purine riboswitch aptamer". From Rfam's summary of the family: Riboswitches are metabolite binding domains within certain messenger RNAs that serve as precision sensors for their corresponding targets. RNAcentral also lists the same sequence under 1 other name. The record is from RNAcentral. Lineage: Bacteria; Bacillati; Bacillota; Bacilli; Caryophanales; Paenibacillaceae.
CUUCGAAAAAGAUAGGUAGCUCGUAUAAUUUUGGGAAUAAGGCCCAACCGUUUCUACCAGGUGACCGUAAAUCACCUGACUACGAGUGAAAGUGCGUCUAGG